RNAcentral lists this long non-coding RNA (504 nucleotides) under Pongo abelii (Sumatran orangutan). Its description in RNAcentral is "lincRNA". The record is from RNAcentral. Lineage: Eukaryota; Metazoa; Chordata; Mammalia; Primates; Hominidae.
CAACACAGCUAUGUGGAAGAACAGAGGCUGGUCUGCAGGUCUAGAUUUGGAUCCUAGCUCUGUUACUUAGUACUUUGUGACUUUGAGCAAUUCACGUCUCUGAAAGACCAGGACCAGAGACCAUGCUGGGAAGCCUGGCUGCUCUUUGAGGACUGAGAUGAACUUAACAAUGCGGAGAAGAACAAAGAGAGGCUAGUGCUCACCGUGUUCCAGAGGGAUCACCGUGUUCCCUUUGUUAAUUUGAGGACAUGAAUACAACUAUGGUCUUUGGACAAAAGGCAUAUGCCAGGCAGUAUGAAUGGUCUCUCUUGUCUGUGCAAUUAGUAUGUAAGAGCACUUGAAUUGGUGCCUGGGACCUCUACCUGUUUUAGUAUGAUAGCACCACAGUAAAGGGCCUGGACUUUGUAUGAGCUUGGGAAAGUCAUGUCACCUCUGCAAGUCUUGGUUUCCCUGGGUGUUAAAUGUCAAUUUAAAUAAAGUGCUAUCUACUUUGUUUGUUUUGGA